This 301-nucleotide ribosomal RNA is filed under the name uncultured bacterium. RNAcentral describes it as "partial 16S ribosomal RNA". It matches the Rfam family "Bacterial small subunit ribosomal RNA", at positions 509 to 807 of the family's 1533-position model. The record is from RNAcentral.
CAGUAGCCACGGUAAAACGAAGGGGGCUAGCGUUGUUCGGAUUUACUGGGCGUAAAGCGCACGUAGGCGGACUUUUAAGUCAGGGGUGAAAUCCCGGGGCUCAACCCCGGAACUGCCUUUGAUACUGGAAGUCUUGAGUAUGGUAGAGGUGAGUGGAAUUCCGAGUGUAGAGGUGAAAUUCGUAGAUAUUCGGAGGAACACCAGUGGCGAAGGCGGCUCACUGGACCAUUACUGACGCUGAGGUGCGAAAGCGUGGGGAGCAAACAGGAUUAGAUACCCCGGUAGUCCCUGUCUCUUAUAC